Molecule: long non-coding RNA, 246 nt
Organism: Amphimedon queenslandica
Lineage: Eukaryota; Metazoa; Porifera; Demospongiae; Haplosclerida; Niphatidae
Exons: 2
Source: RefSeq, a predicted model, not a curated record
UAAUCUACAAAACAAAUGAAAAAAAAACAUCAAAAACUUACAUGCUAAUUAUAGAUGGGCGUGGUUAAGUGGGAGGGGUUAGGUGUGGCUAAUUUUUAACCCUUUCAACUAAAACUGCUCAACCUGCUUCAUGCCUAGCAAUAGGACAUUAAAGAAUGCUGGCCUUGCUGCUGGCUUCCUAACUCUCCUUGGAGCGGCUCUUUACUCAGUCAUCAUUUAUCCAAAGCUCCACCCUGAAAUCUAUAG